GAGGGUAUAGCUCAGUGGUAGAGCACAUGCUUAGCAUGCAUGAGGUGCUGGGUUCAAUCCCCAGUCCCUCC
RNAcentral lists this transfer RNA (71 nucleotides) under Camelus ferus (Wild Bactrian camel). It matches the Rfam family "tRNA". From Rfam's summary of the family: Transfer RNA (tRNA) molecules are approximately 80 nucleotides in length. The record is from Rfam by way of RNAcentral. Lineage: Eukaryota; Metazoa; Chordata; Mammalia; Artiodactyla; Camelidae.